Molecule: ribosomal RNA, 247 nt
Filed under: uncultured bacterium
Lineage: Bacteria
Description: partial 16S ribosomal RNA
Rfam family: Bacterial small subunit ribosomal RNA
Source: RNAcentral
GGUCUCAAGCGUUGUUCGGAUUCAUUGGGCGUAAAGGGUGCGUAGGCGGCGCGGUAAGUCGGGUGUGAAAUCUCGGAGCUUAACUCCGAAACUGCAUUCGAUACUGCCGUGCUUGAGGACUGGAGAGGAGACUGGAAUUUACGGUGUAGCGGUGAAAUGCGUAGAUAUCGUAAGGAAGACCAGUGGCGAAGGCGGGUCUCUGGACAGUUCCUGACGCUGAGGCACGAAGGUCAGGGGAGCAAACGGG